RNAcentral lists this non-coding RNA (21 nucleotides) under Arabidopsis thaliana (thale cress). The record is from RNAcentral. Lineage: Eukaryota; Viridiplantae; Streptophyta; Magnoliopsida; Brassicales; Brassicaceae.
UAAUCCGCGUCGGUCCACGCC